RNAcentral lists this transfer RNA (47 nucleotides) under Atypus karschi. RNAcentral's name for it is "tRNA-His". Lineage: Eukaryota; Metazoa; Arthropoda; Arachnida; Araneae; Atypidae. The record is from RNAcentral.
AUAUAAGUGUUUACGUGAGAUUGUGGUUCUCAAAAAGUCUUUAUUUU